Molecule: unclassified non-coding RNA, 622 nt
Filed under: Hevea brasiliensis (rubber tree)
Lineage: Eukaryota; Viridiplantae; Streptophyta; Magnoliopsida; Malpighiales; Euphorbiaceae
Source: RNAcentral
GAUAUGAUCUUCAUCGUACAGUUCAUGCACCAUUUGUGCAUGGCCAGCCAAAGCUGCUAUAUGGAUUGGAAAUAAAUUUUUACCACCCCGAGUCACUGACAAAUCUUGCUUCUUCAUCUUCAUAAUUUGAGCAAUUUUCACGUUUCCAGAUAAAGCCGCAUAGCAAAAAGCUGUANNNNNNNCUCCUCUGGUUCUGUUGCUGGGUCUUGUGAUUGUGGAACUCGGUCCCGUGGAUGUAGGGCUGCAGCUGCAUCUUGGAUUGGGUCCGCGAUUGUUACUUUGGCUUUGGGUUUGGUAUUUUCUUGUCGACUUACAUUUGCACUUCUGAUUGCAGAUGCCAAUGUGGCUGCAGUUGCUUUGGGACCUAUGGCUGGGUCCUCUGCUAUUUUGAAUGCAGUUGGGGCUGAAGCCAUGGCAUCACUUAGAGAUGAAGCUUGUGAUUGUGGGACUCGGUCCCGUGGUUGCGGGGCUGCAGCUGCAGCUGCAGCUGCAUCUUGGAUUGGGUCCGCGAUUGUUACUUUGGCUUUGGGUUUGGUAAGUUUGGUAUUUUCUUGUCGACUUGCAUUUGCAUUUUCGGUUGCAGAUGGGAAUGCGGCUGCAGUUGCUUUGGGACCUAUGGCUG